AACAAACGCUGGCGGCGUGCCUAAUACAUGCAAGUCGAACGGGGAAAGCCUUCGGGUGAGUACUAGUGGCGCACGGGUGAGUAACAUGUGGGUAAUCUGCCUUGGAGUGGGGGGAUAACUAGUCGAAAGAUUAGCUAAUACCGCAUAAGACCACAAGAUCUGCGGAUCAAGGGGUCAAAGGUUUUUCGCUCCAAGAUGAGCCCGCACGGGAUUAGCUAGUUGGUGAGGUAAUGGCUCACCAAGGCUACGAUCUCUAGCUGGUCUGAGAGGAUGAUCAGCCACACUGGAACUGAGACACGGUCCAGACUCCUACGGGAGCAGCAGUAGGGAAUAUUGCACAAUGGAGGAAACUCUGAUGCAGCGACGCCGCGUGGGUGAUGAAGGCCU
This 387-nucleotide ribosomal RNA is filed under the name uncultured bacterium. Its description in RNAcentral is "bacterial SSU rRNA". It matches the Rfam family "Bacterial small subunit ribosomal RNA", at positions 29 to 417 of the family's 1533-position model. The record is from RNAcentral.